UCCCCGAUGGAGGAGGACCGUUCUUCGGUCAAGGGUAUACAGUAGCUGCGCUCCCUUGCUAGAACCUCCAAACAAGCUCUCAAGAAAUGGGCCAGAACUAUACAUAGCUGUGCAGCCUCUGAGGCUGGCUCUGUGA
RNAcentral lists this small RNA (136 nucleotides) under Marmota monax (woodchuck). It matches the Rfam family "7SK RNA", at positions 156 to 331 of the family's 331-position model. Rfam says of the family: 7SK was discovered as an abundant small nuclear RNA in the mid-70s but a possible function has only recently been suggested. Two independent studies have found that 7SK RNA binds the CDK9/cyclin T complex (known as elongation factor P-TEFb). P-TEFb activates transcription by phosphorylating the C-terminal domain of RNA polymerase II. Lineage: Eukaryota; Metazoa; Chordata; Mammalia; Rodentia; Sciuridae. The record is from RNAcentral.